UGGGGAAUAUUGCACAAUGGGCGCAAGCCUGAUGCAGCAACGCCGCGUGAGGGAUGACGGCCUUCGGGUUGUAAACCUCUUUUAGCAGGGAAGAAGCGAAAGUGACGGUACCUGCAGAAAAAGCGCCGGCUAACUACGUGCCAGCAGCCGCGGUAAUACGUAGGGCGCAAGCGUUAUCCGGAAUUAUUGGGCGUAAAGAGCUCGUAGGCGGUUUGUCGCGUCUGCUGUGAAAUCCCGAGGCUCAACCUCGGGUCUGCAGUGGGUACGGGCAGACUAGAGUGCGGUAGGGGAGAUUGGAACUCCUGGUGUAGCGGUGGAAUGCGCAGAUAUCAGGAGGAACACCGAUGGCGAAGGCAGAUCUCUGGGCCCGUAACUGACGCUGAGGAGCGAAAGGGUGGGGAGCAAACAGGCUUAGAUGACCCUGGUAGUCCACCCCGU
RNAcentral lists this ribosomal RNA (438 nucleotides) under uncultured bacterium. RNAcentral's name for it is "partial 16S ribosomal RNA". It matches the Rfam family "Bacterial small subunit ribosomal RNA", at positions 355 to 803 of the family's 1533-position model. The record is from RNAcentral.